GGCUUCAACACCCCCGCGGGCGGGACCUUUUCAAGGUAUGUGCGUUCGCUGGAGCC
Molecule: small RNA, 56 nt
Filed under: unclassified sequences
Description: NAD+-I sequence
Rfam family: nadA riboswitch
Source: Rfam by way of RNAcentral